This 29-nucleotide small RNA is filed under the name Bombyx mori (domestic silkworm). RNAcentral describes it as "ovarian small RNA-14229". The record is from RNAcentral. Lineage: Eukaryota; Metazoa; Arthropoda; Insecta; Lepidoptera; Bombycidae.
CGAGCAAGUAAAGGUCAUAUCCGAGUUGC